Molecule: long non-coding RNA, 130 nt
Organism: Orcinus orca (killer whale)
Lineage: Eukaryota; Metazoa; Chordata; Mammalia; Artiodactyla; Delphinidae
Exons: 2
Source: RefSeq, a predicted model, not a curated record
CAGGGAGAGGCCCACGUACCGCAAAAAAAAAAAAAAAAAAAAAAAAAAAAAAAAAAAAAGCAAGGCCCGCGUACCGCAAAAAAAAAAAAAAAAAAAAAAAAAAAAAAAAAAAAAAAAAAAAAAAAUCAAA